GGGGCCGUAGCUCAGUUGGGAGAGCGCUUGAAUGGCAUUCAAGAGGUCGAGGGUUCAAAUCCCUUCGGCUCCACCA
This 76-nucleotide transfer RNA is filed under the name Candidatus Dadabacteria bacterium. RNAcentral's name for it is "tRNA-Ala". It matches the Rfam family "tRNA". Rfam says of the family: Transfer RNA (tRNA) molecules are approximately 80 nucleotides in length. Their secondary structure includes four short double-helical elements and three loops (D, anti-codon, and T loops). RNAcentral also lists the same sequence under 2 other names. The record is from RNAcentral. Lineage: Bacteria; Pseudomonadati; Thermodesulfobacteriota; Candidatus Dadabacteria.